Molecule: ribosomal RNA, 1549 nt
Filed under: Bacillus sp. UFRGS-B20
Lineage: Bacteria; Bacillati; Bacillota; Bacilli; Caryophanales; Bacillaceae
Description: bacterial SSU rRNA
Rfam family: Bacterial small subunit ribosomal RNA
Source: RNAcentral
UUAAUGGAGAGUUUGAUCCUGCGAUCAGGGAUAACGCUGGCGGGCGUGCCUAAUACAUGCAAGGUCGAGCGAAUGGAUUAAGAGCUUGCUCUUAUGAAUUAGCGGCGGACGGGGUGAGUAACACGUUGGGUAACCUGCCCAUAGACUGGUAACUCCGGAAACCGGUAAUACCGAUUAACAUUUUUACCGCAAUGGUUCGAAAGUGAAAAGGCGGCUUCGGCUGUCACUUAUGGAUGGACCCGCGUCGCAUUAGCGUAGUUGUGAGGUAACGCCACCAAGGCAACGAUGCGUAGCCGACCUUGAGAGGAGUGAUCGCGCACACUUGGACUGAGACACGGCCCAGACUCCUACGGGAGGCAGCAGUAGGAAUUCUUCCGACAAUUGGACGAAAGGCUGACGGAGCAACGCGCGUAGUGAUGAAGGCUUUCGGGUCGUAAAAACUCUGUUGGUUAGGGAAGAACAAUGCUAGUUGAAUUAAGCUGGCACCUUGACGGGUACCCUACCCAAAAGCCACGGCUAACUACGGGCCAGCAGCCCGCCGGUAAUACGUAGGUGCAAGCGUUAUCCGAUUAUGGCGUAAAGCGCGCGCAGUGUCUAAGUCUGAUGUGAAAGCCCACGGCUCAACCGUGGAGGGUCAUUGAAAUGGGAGACUGGUGCAGAAGAGGAACGUGGAAUUCAAUGUGAGCGGUGAAAUGCGUAGAGUAUGGAGGAACACCAGUGCGCGAAGGCGACUUUCUGGUCUGUAAACUGACACUGAGGCCGCGAAAGCGUCGGGAGCAAACAGGAUAGAUACCCUGUAGUCCACGCCGUAAACGAAUGAGUGCUGAAGUGUAGAGUUUUCCGCCCUUUAUGCUUGAAGUUAACGCAUUAAGCACUCGCCUGGGGAAGUACGGCCGCAAGGCUGAAAACUCAAAGGAAUUGACGGGGGCCCGCACAAGCGGUGGGCAUUGUUGGUUAUUCGAAGCAACGCGAAGAACCUUACCAGGUCUUGACAUCCUCUGAAAAACCCUUAGAGAUAGGGCUUCUCCUUCGGGGCAGAGUGACAGUGGUGCAUGGUUGUGUCAGCUUUCGUGUCGUGAGAUGUUGGGUUAAGUCCGCAACGAGACGCAACCCUUGAUCUUAGUUGCCAUCAUUUAAGUUGGCACUCUAAGGUGACUGCCGGCUGACAAAACCGGAGGAAGGUGGGGAUGACGUCAAAUCAUCAUGCCCUGUAUGACCUGGGCUCACACGUGCUACAAUGGACGGUACAAAAGAGCUGCAAGACCGCGAGGUUGGAGCUAAUCUUCAUAAAACCGUUCUCAUUCGGAUUGUAGGCUGCAACUCGCUACGAUGAACUGGAAUCGCAGUAAUCGCGGAUCAGCAUUGCCGCGGUGAAUACGUUCCCGGACCCUUGUACACACCGCCCGUCACACACGAGAGUUUUUGUAACACCCGAAGUCGGUGGGGUAACCUUUUUGGAGCCAGCCCCGCCUAAGGUGGACAGAUGAUUUGGGGUGAAGUCGUAACAAGGUAAGCCGUAUCGAAGGUGCGGCUGGAUCACCUCCUUUCU